Molecule: RNA transcript, 4534 nt
Organism: Elephantulus edwardii (Cape elephant shrew)
Lineage: Eukaryota; Metazoa; Chordata; Mammalia; Macroscelidea; Macroscelididae
Exons: 18
Source: RefSeq, a predicted model, not a curated record
AUGGCGUCCAGGAGAGAGAUGCCUUGCUCCUUCUCCAGAUGGUGAAAAGCUUUGUGAAGCAAGCGUAAAAUCUGUCAUUGUUGAUGAAAAUGGGAAGUCUUUUGCAGUUGUCUUAUAUUCAGAUUCUCUAGAAAAGAAAAUACCUCUUAAAAAACUUCGAGAAGUAAAAUCUGUUAAAAUAUGCUCCAAGAAUUUUGUAUUUGAUGAUGAAGAUUUGGAAAAACCUUACUUCACAGAUCAAAGAUUUCCAUCUUCUGCUGUUGCUUUCAAAUUAUCUGAAGAUGGAGACUGUAUUCCUUAUACUAUUAAUAGGUAUUUGAGAGACUACCAAAGAGAGGGAGUCCAGUUUCUUUAUCGACACUACAUCCAAGGAAGAGGGUGUAUUCUUGGUGAUGACAUGGGACUUGGAAAAACAGUACAGGUUAUUUCAUUCUUAGCUGCAAUUCUGCAUAAAAAAGGAACUCGUGAGGAUAUUGACAAUAACAUGCCGGAGUUUUUACUAAGAACUAUGAAAAGAACAAUCCCUUCUUAUACAGCAAAAAAGAUGUUCUUAAUAGUCGCUCCUCUUUCAGUCCUCUACAACUGGAGAGAUGAAUUGGAUACUUGGGGAUAUUUUAAAGUUACUAUAUUACAUGGUAACAAAAAAGAAAAUGAACUGAUUCGAAUAAAGCAGGGUAAAUGUGAAAUUGCUUUAACAACUUAUGAAACACUGUGCUUAUGUCUGGAUGAACUUAACAGUUUGGAAUGGUCAGCCAUCAUUGUAGAUGAAGCUCACAAAAUAAAGAAUCCAAAGACUAGAGUAACAAAAGUUAUGAAAGCUUUAAAGUGUAAUGUCCGCAUUGGACUCACUGGAACCAUUCUUCAAAACAACAUGAAAGAACUAUGGUGUGUUAUGGACUGGGCUGUACCGGGACUUCUGGGCAGCAGGAUUCACUUCAAGAAGCAUUUUUCUGACCCAGUAGAACAUGGUCAGAGACACACAGCUACAAAAAGAGAACUAGCUACAGGCCGAAAGAUCAUGCACAGAUUGGCAAAAAAGAUAUCUGGCUGGUUUCUCAGGCGUACGAAGACUCUCAUCAAGGAUCAGUUGCCUAAGAAAGAAGACAGGAUGGUGUAUUGUUCUCUGACAGAUUUCCAGAAAACUUUCUAUCAAGCAGUAUUAGAGACAGAAGAGGUAACUUGGAUACUUCAGUCUUCUGAGCCUUGUUCCUGCAGUAGUGGUCGAAAAAGAAGAAAUUGCUGUUAUAAGAUCAGUUCACAAGGUGAAACAGUGAAAACUUUGUAUUUCAGUUACCUUUCAAUCCUUCAGAAAGUAGCCAAUCAUGUUGCUCUACUUCACACUGUGGGCACUUCAGAACAACAGAAAACAAUUAUUGAUAGGAUAUGUGAUCAGGUAUUUUCCAGAUUCCCAGAAUUUGUUCAGAAAAGCAAAGAUGCUGCUUUUGAAACAAUAUCCGACCCAAAAUACAGUGGAAAAAUGAAGGUCCUUCAGCAGCUUUUACAUCAUUGCAGAAAAAGCAAAGAGAAAGUUCUUCUUUUCUCUUUUUCCACCAAGUUGCUGGAUGUGCUGCAGCAAUACUGUGUGGCAGCUGGAUUUGAUUUCCGACGACUUGAUGGGAAUACAAAAUCAGAGGAAAGAAUCAAGAUUGUCAAAGAGUUCAACAGUACACAGGACUUUAAUAUUUGCCUUGUUUCCACAAUGGCUGGUGGAUUAGGCCUCAAUUUUGUUGGUGCUAGUGUUGUUGUAUUAUUUGACCCAACUUGGAAUCCAGCCAAUGAUCUUCAAGCCAUUGAUAGAGCAUAUAGGAUUGGACAAAGCAGAGAUGUCAAAGUGUUUAGGCUGAUAUCUGUGGGGACAGUAGAAGAGAUCAUGUAUUUACGACAAGUGUAUAAGCAGCAACUUCACUGUGCAGUAGUUGGAAGUGAAAAUGCCAAGCGUUACUUUGAAGCAGUUCAGGGAUCAAAAGAGCACUGCGGAGAGCUUUUUGGGAUCCAUAAUCUCUUCAAACUGAGAUCUCAAGGAAUUUGCCUUACGAAAGCUAUCCUGGAGAGAGAAGGUCAAGUAGAAGUAGGAAUCAUGUCAGCCACAACAUUUUGGAAAGAGGGACCCCCAACUCAAAAACUCAAAAUGCCUAAAGAGCCUGACAGUCAAGAACACAGAGGUCCAGGACGACAUGCAAAGCCCCAGACAGGAGAAGCCUACGAUUACUGCAGUGAUUUUAGUGACGAUGAGCCAGUGGGAAACUCAAGAAUAAAGACUGUUAAGAGCAAAGCAUCAUAUUCAAGUAGAGCUUCAAGUUGUCCAGGGCAGCUCACCUUACUCCAAUGUGGCUUCUCUAAAUUAUUCGAGACAAACUAUAAAGCAGUUGAGGAUAAUGAUGGAAAUGACACCUCUGAUGAUGAAAGCCUUGAUAAGCAGCCCAUGCACAAUUCAACAGAAGCCAAAGAUUAUAUGACUAUUGAUUAUCAGAAAAACCAGGACUCUGUUGGUACUUUAGAACAUGAGAAAAAAGCUUGCAUUGUAAAUCCAAAUGAAAGAUUUCUUUUUCCUAAAAGUGAAACUUUAAAACAGAUUAUUUCUUCUGAAUCUGAUGAUGAAAAAAAUGUUAAAAAUACACUUGAACACCAAGAUGUCUCAGAAUCAGAAGACAAUGAUGUUGUCUUUCCCACACAGAGAAUCCCUAAAUGUAGUGAAAGAUUUAAGCCACUUUUGGAUAUAUCUGAAUAUUCUAAUACAGAUAGCACUGUACAAGUAAGAAAUAAUUGUGAUGAACAAGAAAGUGGACCAGUUUCCAAAAAAUUAAAUCCUGAGUGCAUUGUUCUGAAAUCAGUCAAAAGAAAAGACACUAGGGAUAUUAGUGAUGAGUCUGAAGACAUUGAAAUAACUUCUCAGUCACAAAUAAGGAAGCACAGAGCUGCUAAUUCCUUGAGGCUUAAGAAAGAAAAGAAAAAGAACCGCAAAUUUCACAGUUUUCCGAAAACAAACAGAGUGUAUAUAAUAAGAAAGGAUUGUAGUUCUCUGACUAUUGGAGACUGCUCAUCUUCAGACGAGGAUUUAAAUAUCAGGCACAUUAGUGCUCCUAAAAAGAGUCAUGGACCAAAAGUUAUAAAAGAAGGAAUCUGUUUCUCUUCAGAGUUGCCUAGCCACAAUAAAAAAAGUAACACUCUUUUGCUAAGGAGACAAAUAAAUUUUUCAAAUGAGAAGCUUAUCAGUCAAGAGCAGACAUCUGAAUCCGUGGAUAAAUUUUUAGAUGGUGUUAAGGAAGUGGCUUAUGUCCACUCAAACCAAAAUGUGAUUGGAUCUAGCAAAGCUGAAAAUCGUAUGAGCCGAUGGGCAGCACGGGAUGUCUUUGAAUUGAAGCAGUUUUCUCAGCUUCCUGCUAACAUUGCUGUUGGAAGUUCUAAGACAUACCAAGAAAAAGUCAAGUUGAAUACAUUGACAUAUAGUGAGAAAAGCCAGCAACCAAAUGAAGGAAUUGAUGUUUUAUACCCCAUAAGCCAAAAGGAGAAGAAAAUCCACCACACAGACCGGACCACCUUCAUAAUUGGAAAAACACCAAAAGGGAUUCAAAGGAAACAAUUUGAAGAAGUGGCUUCUUUCUUUAAUGUGUCUUCUAUACUGGAAUUUGCAGAACAUGUAACUAAUGCAACAUCAGAAGAACGGCAGAAAAUUCUCAGUGACUUUUAUGCUUCUCAAUAUCCAGAAGGAAAAUAUUUUUUUGUUGUAUCUGCUUCAGAAUUAGCCAAAUCUACCCAUACAAAAGGAGAGAAAGUUAGGAAUAAAUUAGGAGAAAAAGAAUCUCUCGUAAAGGAAGGGCUAUUGUCUUCUGAAACUUUGUCAUUUGAAGAGUCUACUAGCAAAUGUUCUCAAGAUUGCAGCCCAGAAAUAUAUAAAGAAAAAUCAGUCAGGUUUCAAAAUUAUGAAGUCUGUAGAGAAAAGACAUUUUCUAAUGAUUCAGAAACUAAGAUGUUACUUGUUAAUUUUACUCAAGAGAUUGGCAGUGGGAUAAAAAGCCAGCUGUCCAAAAAUAGUGUGGCAUCUUGUUACCUAAACUGUGACUCUGAAGCAUAUGAUAGAAAGUUAGAAAAUAUGAAGGACCAACGGGAUUUAACAAAAAUGUGUGUUUCAAUAAAUGGACCCCUUUGCAAAUCAGAAACCAAAAAGAUAGACAAUCCAGUAUUAGAAAACACUUCUGUGGGAGAGUUACUUGGUGACACCUCUAUUCUUAAUGACCUCUUUAAAAGUCAUGAGAAUAGCCUCACACAACUGCCAAAGAAAGUUCUUUUAGAACCCAUAGAAAAAGCAAAACAGAGACCAAAAGAUUUCUGGGACGUGUUGAAUGAACAGAAUGAUGACAGUCUUAGUAAACUCACCGACUUGGCAAGAAUAGAGACUUUAUGUGAAAAAAUGCCCCUUGCUGCAUCUUCCAAAAGGGAAGAAGAGCUAGAAACUUCUCUUUGGAAAGCAAAUGAGAAUUUUUUGUGGAAAAAAACUAACUCAGAUAAUCCAGAUUGAAACACAGCCAGUAUGUAG